RNAcentral lists this ribosomal RNA (301 nucleotides) under uncultured bacterium. RNAcentral describes it as "partial 16S ribosomal RNA". It matches the Rfam family "Bacterial small subunit ribosomal RNA", at positions 509 to 809 of the family's 1533-position model. The record is from RNAcentral.
CAGUAGCCACGGUAAUACGUAGGGUGCAAGCGUUAAUUGGAAUUACUGGGCGUAAAGCGUGCGCAGGCGGUUAUAUAAGACAGAUGUGAAAUCCCCGGGCUCAACCUGGGAACUGCAUUUGUGACUGUAUAGCUAGAGUACGGCAGAGGGGGAUGGAAUUCCGCGUGUAGCAGUGAAAUGCGUAGAUAUGCGGAGGAACACCGAUGGCGAAGGCAAUCCCCUGGGCCUGUACUGACGCUCAUGCACGAAAGCGUGGGGAGCAAACAGGAUUAGAGACCCCAGUAGUCCCUGUCUCUUAUAU